GCCGAGUACAAACAAAAGGUACCUGACGACACGUGGCGAAGUCGGCGGCUUUCCUUAGUGCGAUGCUGCUGUGGGCCCCGCAUCGUCUCUGGAUCCUACUACUGAGCCCAUCUUGUGGUCCCUGAUCUGUUGGGCCUAGACCUGGGGCCUGCCCAGCCAACAUCAGUCCCACUCUAUGGACCAGCCAGGCCAUUUGAUAUCUUCUAGCAUCACAAAACUUGGUCCUUCCUCUUCCACAGCCACCAUUCCCUCUAUAUUUUACAGGUGGAUG
RNAcentral lists this long non-coding RNA (271 nucleotides) under Elaeis guineensis (African oil palm). Its description in RNAcentral is "long non-coding RNA (EGUI_LNC026274)". Lineage: Eukaryota; Viridiplantae; Streptophyta; Magnoliopsida; Arecales; Arecaceae. The record is from RNAcentral.